Molecule: long non-coding RNA, 498 nt
Filed under: Vigna radiata
Lineage: Eukaryota; Viridiplantae; Streptophyta; Magnoliopsida; Fabales; Fabaceae
Description: long non-coding RNA (VRAD_LNC013444)
Source: RNAcentral
GAGGGGGAGGGGGGGUUCUUGCGUACACUCUUUUUUCAGUUGGUAUAUUUUAGCAAUGUAUAUUGGGUUUUAGUAGACAAAAAUACUCUCAUAUAUUAUGGACUCUAAGUUUUAAGGUCAAGGGUAUUUGAAUAAUUUUCAUUCUCAAAACUAAAAAAACAAACAAGAAAACCCCAAACCCUUACUGAGCUUUCUUUCAUCGCUCAUUCCUCUUAACCCUUUCUCUUUCAUCUCUCUCACUCCAACAUUUUCUUUGUCAUCCCUACAGUAGCCCCAACUGAAAAAAUCAUAAAGACUCAUCUAACUCUAAUCCACCUUCCCGACUUAUCCAAUUUGUUUCUCUCUCAUCUUUAUCCUCUCUCACAUCCACACAUAACAACCUGCGACAUCGCAAUUUGUUGCUCUUAUUAUGUUCGUUUAUUUGUUUUUCACUUUAAUAACAAAAUAAUUGAUGAUGUUGAUGUUGAUUUUUGAUUGGAGGACUGUGUUAUAUCUUUU